CAAAAUGUAGUUUAUUUAAAAUAUUAAUUUUGGAGAUUAAAGAUAUAAAAUUUUUAUUGUUUUGA
RNAcentral lists this transfer RNA (65 nucleotides) under Cephus sareptanus. RNAcentral's name for it is "tRNA-Pro". Lineage: Eukaryota; Metazoa; Arthropoda; Insecta; Hymenoptera; Cephidae. The record is from RNAcentral.